Molecule: ribosomal RNA, 403 nt
Filed under: uncultured bacterium
Lineage: Bacteria
Description: partial 16S ribosomal RNA
Rfam family: Bacterial small subunit ribosomal RNA
Source: RNAcentral
AUUGAACGCUGGCGGCAGGCCUAACACAUGCAAGUCGAGCGAGAGGCGGACGGGUGUGUAAUAUAUGGGGACUGCGCGAGAGAGGGGGGUAACUACAGGAAACGGUGGCUAAUACAGCACACUGUAGGAGAACCCAUAUGGGAUUAGCUAGUGGGUAAGGUAAUGGCUUACCUAGGUGACGAGACCUAGCUGGUCUGAGAGGAGGAUCAGCCACACUGGGACUGAGACACGGGCCAGACUCCUACGGAGGCAGCAGUGGGGAAUAUUGCACAAUGGGCGCAAGCCUGAUGCAGCCAUGCCGCGUGUAUGAAGAAGGCCCUAGGGUUGUAAAGUACUUUCAGUCGGGAGGCGUUACCGACAGAAGAAGCACCGGCUAACUCCGUGCCAGCCGCCGCGGUAAUAC